AUUUGAGCAGACUUGAAGAGGAGAGAAACUGAGACACGCAGGGCUUGUGGUCCCUGACAAGGAGGACCCUGAGGGCAACCACACCUUGCCAUGCAGAGCACCUGGCUUCUCAUCUGCCAACCUCACUCUGACCCGGCUGCAGGAGGGGAAGGAGCCAACCCUGGACUCAAGACUCAAGGGGACCAGAACCAGGGAGAUGAGACAUACCAGGGCUGGGCAGCUGUGGGGGUCCUUCCAGAGAGGAGCUGAGAUACGCCUACCUGGAGAGGCCCCUGGGCCUGGAGGGGCUCCUCAGUGUGACUGGGUGAAGUGUUUUCAGAGGACCAGGGUUGAGGUUGGGGGCAUCUCAUCCAGACCCUGCCGGCAUCUGCCCCGAACCCAAGGGCCCCUCCUUCCUCCCUCCUCAAUGGAAAUGCUGGGGAUGUCCUCAGUCACCCUCUGAGCACUCACACAUCACCCUUUAUUUGGAAAUUUUUCUCACUCUAACCUCCUUCCUUCCUGCUGCACCUUCUGCCCCAUCCCCAGGCUCUGGCCUCUCUCUCUCUUCUUCCACCCUUUAGCAGGUGAUGACUCACUUCCCACUGAGGAGGCAGCUCUAGGUGAGAGUCUGGGCUCUCGGUGAGCUUGGGAGAAGGAAAAGGCUUAUGGGCCAGGGCAUGGGAAGGAGAAUGGGCACAGCCAGAGCAG
This 687-nucleotide long non-coding RNA is filed under the name Pongo abelii (Sumatran orangutan). Its description in RNAcentral is "lincRNA". The record is from RNAcentral. Lineage: Eukaryota; Metazoa; Chordata; Mammalia; Primates; Hominidae.